Molecule: ribosomal RNA, 440 nt
Filed under: uncultured bacterium
Lineage: Bacteria
Description: partial 16S ribosomal RNA
Rfam family: Bacterial small subunit ribosomal RNA
Source: RNAcentral
CCUACGGGGGGCAGCAGUGGGGAAUAUUGCACAAUGGGGGAAAUCCUGAUGCAGCGACGCCGCGUGAGUGAAGAAGUAUCUCGGUAUGUAAAGCUCUAUCAGCAGGGAAGAAAAUGACGGUACCUGACUAAGAAGCCCCGGCUAACUACGUGCCAGCAGCCGCGUUAAUAUGUAGGGGGCAAGCGUUAUCCGGAUUUACUGGGUGUAAAGGGAGCGUAGACGGCGCUGCAAGUCCGGAGUGAAAGCCCAUGGCUUAACCAUGGUACUGCGCUGGAAACUGUGGAGCUUGAGUGCGGGAGGGGCAGGCGGAAUUCCUAGUGUAGCGGUGAAAUGCUUAGAUAUUGCGCAGAACUCCGAUUGCGAAGGCAGCAUACCGGCGGCGAUCUGACGCUGAGGCACGAAAGCGUGGGUAUCGAACAGGAUUAGAUACCCCAGUAGUC